This 811-nucleotide ribosomal RNA is filed under the name uncultured bacterium. RNAcentral's name for it is "bacterial SSU rRNA". It matches the Rfam family "Bacterial small subunit ribosomal RNA", at positions 8 to 796 of the family's 1533-position model. The record is from RNAcentral.
AGAGUUUGAUCAUGGCUCAGAACGAACGCUGGCGGCGUGCCUAACACAUGCAAGUCGAACGCGAAAGGGGGCAACCCCGAGUAGAGUGGCGCACGGGUGAGUAACACGUGGGUAACCUACCCCAGAGAUUGGGAUAACCGGGGGAAACUCUGGCUAAUACCGGAUACGCCUCGGGCAACCUCGGUUGCCUUGGGGAAAGGAUGGCCUCUGCUUGCAAGCUAUCGCUCUUGGAUGGGCCCGCGGCCCAUUAGCUAGUUGGUGAGGUAACGGCUCACCAAGGCUGUGAUGGGUAGCUGGUCUGAGAGGAUGAUCAGCCACACUGGGACUGAAACACGGCCCAGACUCCUACGGGAGGCAGCAGUGGGGAAUUUUGCGCAAUGGGAGAAAUCCUGACGCAGCAACGCCGCGUGGGUGAUGAAGGCCCUCGGGUCGUAAAGCCCUGUCGGGUGGGAAGAAUCCCUCGACGGUAAAUAAUCGGCGAGGAUGACGGUACCACUAGAGGAAGCACCGGCUAACUCUGUGCCAGCAGCCGCGGUAAUACAGAGGGUGCAAGCGUUGUUCGGAAUCACUGGGCGUAAAGCGCGUGUAGGCGGCCGAUUGUGUCGAGUGUGAAAGCCCUCGGCUUAACCGAGGAAGUGCGCUCGAAACUGGUUGGCUUGAGUACCGGAGAGGAAGGUGGAAUUCCCGGUGUAGAGGUGAAAUUCGUAGAUAUCGGGAGGAACACCAGUGGCGAAAGCGACCUUCUGGACGGAUACUGACGCUGAGACGCGAAAGCGUGGGGAGCAAACAGGAUUAGAUACCCUAGUAGUCC